GACGAACGCUGGCGGCGUGCUUAACACAUGCAAGUCGAACGGAAAGGCCCUGCUUUUGUGGGGUGCUCGAGUGGCGAACGGGUGAGUAACACGUGAGUAACCUGCCCUUGACUUUGGGAUAACUUCAGGAAACUGGGGCUAAUACCGGAUAGGAGCUCCUGCUGCAUGGUGGGGGUUGGAAAGUUUCGGCGGUUGGGGAUGGACUCGAGGCUUAUGAGCUUGUUGGUGGGGUAGUGGCUUACCAAGGCUUUGACGGGUAGCCGGCCUGAGAGGGUGACCGGCCACAUUGGGACUGAGAUACGGACCAGAAGCCUACGGGAGGCAGCAGUGGGGAAUAUUGCACAAUGGGCGGAAGCCUGAUGCAGAAACGCCGCGUGCGGGAUGACGGCCUUCGGGUUGUAAACCGCUUUCGCCUGUGACGAAGCGUGAGUGACGGUAAUGGGUAAAGAAGCACCGGCUAACUACGUG
RNAcentral lists this ribosomal RNA (468 nucleotides) under uncultured bacterium. Its description in RNAcentral is "partial 16S ribosomal RNA". It matches the Rfam family "Bacterial small subunit ribosomal RNA", at positions 28 to 507 of the family's 1533-position model. The record is from RNAcentral.